GGUUAAGCGACUAAGCGUACACGGUGGAUGCCCUGGCAGUCAGAGGCGAUGAAGGACGUGCUAAUCUGCGAUAAGCGUCGGUGAGGUGAUAUGAACCGUUAUAACCGGCGAUUUCCGAAUGGGGAAACCCAGUGUGUUUCGACACACUAUCAUUAACUGAAUCCAUAGGUUAAUGAGGCGAACCGGGGGAACUGAAACAUCUAAGUACCCCGAGGAAAAGAAAUCAACCGAGAUUCCCCCAGUAGCGGCGAGCGAACGGGGAGCAGCCCAGAGCCUGAAUCAGUGUGUGUGUUAGUGGAAGCGUCUGGAAAGGCGCGCGAUACAGGGUGACAGCCCCGUACACAAAAAUGCACAUGCUGUGAGCUCGAUGAGUAGGGCGGGACACGUGGUAUCCUGUCUGAAUAUGGGGGGACCAUCCUCCAAGGCUAAAUACUCCUGACUGACCGAUAGUGAACCAGUACCGUGAGGGAAAGGCGAAAAGAACCCCGGCGAGGGGAGUGAAAAAGAACCUGAAACCGUGUACGUACAAGCAGUGGGAGCCUCUUAAUGGGGUGACUGCGUACCUUUUGUAUAAUGGGUCAGCGACUUAUAUUCUGUAGCAAGGUUAACCGAAUAGGGGAGCCGAAGGGAAACCGAGUCUUAACUGGGCGUUAAGUUGCAGGGUAUAGACCCGAAACCCGGUGAUCUAGCCAUGGGCAGGUUGAAGGUUGGGUAACACUAACUGGAGGACCGAACCGACUAAUGUUGAAAAAUUAGCGGAUGACUUGUGGCUGGGGGUGAAAGGCCAAUCAAACCGGGAGAUAGCUGGUUCUCCCCGAAAGCUAUUUAGGUAGCGCCUCGUGAAUUCAUCUCCGGGGGUAGAGCACUGUUUCGGCAAGGGGGUCAUCCCGACUUACCAACCCGAUGCAAACUGCGAAUACCGGAGAAUGUUAUCACGGGAGACACACGGCGGGUGCUAACGUCCGUCGUGAAGAGGGAAACAACCCAGACCGCCAGCUAAGGUCCCAAAGUCAUGGUUAAGUGGGAAACGAUGUGGGAAGGCCCAGACAGCCAGGAUGUUGGCUUAGAAGCAGCCAUCAUUUAAAGAAAGCGUAAUAGCUCACUGGUCGAGUCGGCCUGCGCGGAAGAUGUAACGGGGCUAAACCAUGCACCGAAGCUGCGGCAGCGACACUAUGUGUUGUUGGGUAGGGGAGCGUUCUGUAAGCCUGUGAAGGUGUACUGUGAGGUAUGCUGGAGGUAUCAGAAGUGCGAAUGCUGACAUAAGUAACGAUAAAGCGGGUGAAAAGCCCGCUCGCCGGAAGACCAAGGGUUCCUGUCCAACGUUAAUCGGGGCAGGGUGAGUCGACCCCUAAGGCGAGGCCGAAAGGCGUAGUCGAUGGGAAACAGGUUAAUAUUCCUGUACUUGGUGUUACUGCGAAGGGGGGACGGAGAAGGCUAUGUUGGCCGGGCGACGGUUGUCCCGGUUUAAGCGUGUAGGCUGGUUUUCCAGGCAAAUCCGGAAAAUCAAGGCUGAGGCGUGAUGACGAGGCACUACGGUGCUGAAGCAACAAAUGCCCUGCUUCCAGGAAAAGCCUCUAAGCAUCAGGUAACAUCAAAUCGUACCCCAAACCGACACAGGUGGUCAGGUAGAGAAUACCAAGGCGCUUGAGAGAACUCGGGUGAAGGAACUAGGCAAAAUGGUGCCGUAACUUCGGGAGAAGGCACGCUGAUAUGUAGGUGAAGUCCCUCGCGGAUGGAGCUGAAAUCAGUCGAAGAUACCAGCUGGCUGCAACUGUUUAUUAAAAACACAGCACUGUGCAAACACGAAAGUGGACGUAUACGGUGUGACGCCUGCCCGGUGCCGGAAGGUUAAUUGAUGGGGUUAGCGGUAACGCGAAGCUCUUGAUCGAAGCCCCGGUAAACGGCGGCCGUAACUAUAACGGUCCUAAGGUAGCGAAAUUCCUUGUCGGGUAAGUUCCGACCUGCACGAAUGGCGUAAUGAUGGCCAGGCUGUCUCCACCCGAGACUCAGUGAAAUUGAACUCGCUGUGAAGAUGCAGUGUACCCGCGGCAAGACGGAAAGACCCCGUGAACCUUUACUAUAGCUUGACACUGAACAUUGAGCCUUGAUGUGUAGGAUAGGUGGGAGGCUUUGAAGUGUGGACGCCAGUCUGCAUGGAGCCGGCCUUGAAAUACCACCCUUUAAUGUUUGAUGUUCUAACGUUGGCCCCUGAUCGGGGUUGCGGACAGUGUCUGGUGGGUAGUUUGACUGGGGCGGUCUCCUCCUAAAGAGUAACGGAGGAGCACGAAGGUUGGCUAAUCCUGGUCGGACAUCAGGAGGUUAGUGCAAUGGCAUAAGCCAGCUUGACUGCGAGCGUGACGGCGCGAGCAGGUGCGAAAGCAGGUCAUAGUGAUCCGGUGGUUCUGAAUGGAAGGGCCAUCGCUCAACGGAUAAAAGGUACUCCGGGGAUAACAGGCUGAUACCGCCCAAGAGUUCAUAUCGACGGCGGUGUUUGGCACCUCGAUGUCGGCUCAUCACAUCCUGGGGCUGAAGUAGGUCCCAAGGGUAUGGCUGUUCGCCAUUUAAAGUGGUACGCGAGCUGGGUUUAGAACGUCGUGAGACAGUUCGGUCCCUAUCUGCCGUGGGCGCUGGAGAACUGAGGGGGGCUGCUCCUAGUACGAGAGGACCGGAGUGGACGCAUCACUGGUGUUCGGGUUGUCAUGCCAAUGGCACUGCCCGGUAGCUAAAUGCGGAAGAGAUAAGUGCUGAAAGCAUCUAAGCACGAAACUUGCCCCGAGAUGAGUUCUCCCUGACUCCUUGAGAGUCCUGAAGGAACGUUGAAGACGACGACGUUGAUAGGCCGGGUGUGUAAGCGCAGCGAUGCGUUGAGCUAACCGGUACUAAUGAACCGUGAGGCUUAACCUU
This 2904-nucleotide ribosomal RNA is filed under the name Escherichia coli. RNAcentral's name for it is "23S ribosomal RNA". It matches the Rfam family "Bacterial large subunit ribosomal RNA". The record is from RNAcentral. Lineage: Bacteria; Pseudomonadati; Pseudomonadota; Gammaproteobacteria; Enterobacterales; Enterobacteriaceae.